Molecule: long non-coding RNA, 487 nt
Organism: Hydra vulgaris (swiftwater hydra)
Lineage: Eukaryota; Metazoa; Cnidaria; Hydrozoa; Anthoathecata; Hydridae
Source: RefSeq, a predicted model, not a curated record
UCGAAGAUCUAGAUUUGAAAAUCUAAUUUAGUUUAAAAACAAUAAAAUGGGUCACUCUUUAAAUCAUUUACUGCAAAACGAAUUUUUUUUUCACCAAAAAGAACUUGUUAUUAAAAUAAAGCAUAAAAUAAUGAACAAAAAUAUGAAGUUAAUUUUGUUAAUAAGUAAAAAAGGGCAAGAAUGGAUAUAAUAAAUAAGAAAGCUAAAGUUGAAGCUGCGAAAUAGUUUAUUGUUAUACAGUUAUCUUACCUAUUGCAUGGGGACCAGUUUUACUAUAUUGAUAAAAAUCUAUAGUUAACGAAAUGUGUAUGCGGGAUUAUAAUUGGCGUUAACAAAACGAUUAAUGGCAUUAACAAAACGAUUGAUAGCAUCAAUAAAACGAUAGAUGAAAAAUCUCUUUGAAGACAACUAAAUGCUCUUUAUAUUUACAAACUACACAUUAAGUUUUGCUGUUCAUGUUUUAACGAAAUAUUGUUACUCUAAUAUA